AGUAACACGUGGGUAACCUGCCCUGAUGAUCGGGACAACCCGAGGAAACUCGGGCUAAUACCGAAUGUGCCCUCCAGCCACAAGGCUGACGGGGAAAGGAAGCUUCGGCCUCCGCAUCGGGAUGGGCCCGCGGCCCAUUAGCUUGUUGGUGAGGUAACGGCUCACCAAGGCGACGAUGGGUAGCUGGUCUGAGAGGACGAUCAGCCACACUGGGAUUGAGAACGGCCCAG
This 230-nucleotide ribosomal RNA is filed under the name uncultured bacterium. RNAcentral's name for it is "partial 16S ribosomal RNA". It matches the Rfam family "Bacterial small subunit ribosomal RNA", at positions 109 to 334 of the family's 1533-position model. The record is from RNAcentral.